This 699-nucleotide ribosomal RNA is filed under the name Enterobacter cloacae. RNAcentral describes it as "bacterial SSU rRNA". It matches the Rfam family "Bacterial small subunit ribosomal RNA", at positions 545 to 1244 of the family's 1533-position model. Lineage: Bacteria; Pseudomonadati; Pseudomonadota; Gammaproteobacteria; Enterobacterales; Enterobacteriaceae. The record is from RNAcentral.
UCGGGAUUACUGGGGCGUAAGCGCACGCAGGCGGUCUGUCAAGUCGGAUGUGAAAUCCCCGGGCUCAACCUGGGAACUGCAUUCGAAACUGGCAGGCUAGAGUCUUGUAGAGGGGGGUAGAAUUCCAGGUGUAGCGGUGAAAUGCGUAGAGAUCUGGAGGAAUACCGGUGGCGAAGGCGGCCCCCUGGACAAAGACUGACGCUCAGGUGCGAAAGCGUGGGGAGCAAACAGGAUUAGAUACCCUGGUAGUCCACGCCGUAAACGAUGUCGAUUUGGAGGUUGUGCCCUUGAGGCGUGGCUUCCGGAGCUAACGCGUUAAAUCGACCGCCUGGGGAGUACGGCCGCAAGGUUAAAACUCAAAUGAAUUGACGGGGGCCCGCACAAGCGGUGGAGCAUGUGGUUUAAUUCGAUGCAACGCGAAGAACCUUACCUGGUCUUGACAUCCACAGAACUUUCCAGAGAUGGAUUGGUGCCUUCGGGAACUGUGAGACAGGUGCUGCAUGGCUGUCGUCAGCUCGUGUUGUGAAAUGUUGGGUUAAGUCCCGCAACGAGCGCAACCCUUAUCCUUUGUUGCCAGCGGUUAGGCCGGGAACUCAAAGGAGACUGCCAGUGAUAAACUGGAGGAAGGUGGGGAUGACGUCAAGUCAUCAUGGGCCUUACGACCAGGGCUACACACGUGCUACAAUGGCGCAUACAAAG